CCUACGGGAGGCAGCAGUAGGGAAUAUUGGUCAAUGGACGAAAGUCUGAACCAGCCAUGCCGCGUGAAGGAUGAAGGCCCUAUGGGUCGUAAACUUCUUUUAUUAGGGAAGAAACCUUAGGAUGCGUCCUAAGCUGACGGUACCUAAUGAAUAAGGAUCGGCUAACUUCGUGCCAGCAGCCGCGGUAAGACGAAGGAUCCAAGCGUUGUCCGGAUUUACUGGGUUUAAAGGGUGCGUAGGCGGAAAAUUAAGUCAGUGGUGAAAGCCCGCAGCUCAACUGUGGAACUGCCAUUGAAACUGAUUUCUUGAAUAUAGUUGAGGCAGAUGGAAUAUAACAUGUAGCGGUGAAAUGCUUAGAUAUGUUAUAGAACACCGAUUGCGAAGGCAGUCUGCUAAGCUAUUAUUGACGCUGAGGCACGAAAGCGUGGGGAGCGAACAGGAUUAGAUACCCUGGUAGUCCACGCCCUAAACGUUGAUUACUCGCUGUUGGCGAUAUACUNUNAGUGNGAGAGAAGAGUAGUAAGUACACCNCGAGGACGACGAACGAGUAGUUAAGUUAAAGUAAAGUUAGUUAGCGNGNGAGNGCGACGACGACGACGAGGAGGAGG
Molecule: ribosomal RNA, 608 nt
Filed under: uncultured bacterium
Lineage: Bacteria
Description: bacterial SSU rRNA
Rfam family: Bacterial small subunit ribosomal RNA (bases 1-530)
Source: RNAcentral